This 1379-nucleotide long non-coding RNA is filed under the name Anas platyrhynchos platyrhynchos (common mallard). RNAcentral describes it as "lncRNA (ENSAPLG00000020658.1)". The record is from RNAcentral. Lineage: Eukaryota; Metazoa; Chordata; Aves; Anseriformes; Anatidae.
UGACUUGCCUUUCUAUCUGCAAGACCACUGUUAUAGCAUGCUUUCCAAGUGCUGUUUGCACUUCUCUCAGCAGCAGUGCUCUGCUUGGUUCCGCCAAAGUCCUUAACAGCAUAAAGCCACAGAAACUAACGUUACAGAGAUAAGAGGUGAAAGUGCUUCUGAAAGACCGCCUCUUUGUGCCAUGUUUCUAAUAAAACUUAAAUAAAACGGAAGUUUUACUUUAAGAUGUAUCUCUUUUGGACCUUUAAUUUGAAAAUUGUAUGAACAAUUGAUACAUAUUUAGCCUUUGCCAACCGUUCUCUGUAUUUUGUUUUCUCCCUGUGGCUGAAACCUCAUCUUCCACCCUCGAAGCCUUUCCCCUGUUUGGUUACGCAAUUUCUUACGAAAAGCAAAACGAUUCCCCUGAUUUUUAUUUAUGUACGUUUGCAAAUCAGUGACAGUAAAACUCAAGCCCCGGGUGUUUGUGUUUGUUUUUGAUUUUUUUUUUUUUUUUUUUUUUUUGUCCGUGUAAAACAAGGGGCGAGUAUUUGUGAGUCCCCCUCCAGCAGUGUUCAGAGCGGGCCGCACCCUGCCGGGGUGCCUCAGGCCUUCGGCCCGUGAGGAGGCAGCUUCCCGCCUUCUGCCUUCCCGCCCUUUUUCCCGCGCGUGCCGCUCCCGCCGGGCCGCGCCUCGCGCCUGAGGGGCGCUGAGCUCCUCAGCAGGCUGCGGGCAGCCCCCGCGCGCCUCUCGUCUGCCUCAGGGGGCCCGGGGCCGCCCAAAACCCAGCCGAGAGCCGUGAGGGAAGCCGCAGGCGUACGCCGUGCCCCCGAUGCCCUGCCUGCCGCUCAGGGAGUCCUGUUUUUUGCUGUGGUGACAGGCAUGAACCUCUGAGGCUGCCUUUACUACCUGCUAUCUGUGGCAUGGAAUCUGCAGAGAUGGCUAGGUAAGGUAAGGCCUUUCAAAGGCAAUGCUUUCUUUUGUGUUAUGCUUUUAAUACAAAAAUGAGUAUUUCUCUGCUUUCUCUGUGCGUAGUUAGGGAUGCCUUCAUAACUUUUAAUGCACCGGUAUAACUUCCUUACAAACUGUCUAUCUGCUGCCAUGCAGAAGUUACAUUGCUGAAUGAAAGGUAAUGCUCUCCCCUUAGGAAGACAAAUGUUGUCCAUUUAGAGCUGUUUAUCAGAGCAUAAGUGAAAGGGGAAAAGGGAAAUGGACAUUCAUUUGUUUUAGAAAAAAAGCUGUGUGUUUAUAAUAUAAUAGAAACAAAGUUCUCGCAACUAAAUGGCAGCAGUUCUGUGUUGCAUAGUCUUGUUGGAAGUAAAGUAUGUGUUUAAUCGUUGGAUUUGUCAAAAGGGAGGGUUGAACUCAUGGGAAUAAAUAUAAUACACACGGGCUUAAUUACC